Molecule: ribosomal RNA, 375 nt
Filed under: uncultured bacterium
Lineage: Bacteria
Description: bacterial SSU rRNA
Rfam family: Bacterial small subunit ribosomal RNA
Source: RNAcentral
AUACGUAGGUGGCAAGCGUUGUCCGGAAUCACUGGGCGUAAAGCGCGCGCAGGCGGCGAUCUACGUCUGGGGUGAAAGCCCGGGGCUCAACCUCGGGACUGCCUUGGAUACGGGAUCGCUUGAGAAUCGGAGAGGUAAGGGGAAUUCCACGUGUAGCGGUGAAAUGCGUAGAUAUGUGGAGGAACACCAGUGGCGAAGGCGCCUUACUGGCCGAUUUCUGACGCUGAGGCGCGAAAGCGUGGGGAGCAAACAGGAUUAGAUACCCUGGUAGUCCACGCCGUAAACGAUGAGUGCUAGGUGUUGGGGGGUACCACCCUCAGUGCCGAAGCUAACGCAUUAAGCACUCCGCCUGGGGAGUACGGUCGCAAGACUGAA